GCUUAACCGAAGAAGUGCAUCGGAAACUGGGUGACUUGAGUGCAGAAGAGGACAGCGGAACUCCAUGUGUAGCGGUGGAAUGCGUAGAUAUAUGGAAGAACACCAGUGGCGAAGGCGGCUGUCUGGUCUGCAACUGACGCUGAGGCUCGAAAGCAUGGGUAGCGAACAGGAUUAGAUACCCUGGUAGUCCAUGCCGUAAACGAUGAGUGCUAGGUGUUGGAGGGUUUCCGCCCUUCAGUGCCGGAGCUAACGCAUUAAGCACUCCGCCUGGGGAGUACGACCGCAAGGUUGAAACUCAAAGGAAUUGACGGGGGCCCGCACAAGCGGUGGAGCAUGUGGUUUAAUUCGAAGCUACGCGAAGAACCUUACCAGGUCUUGACAUCUUGCGCUAACCUAAGAGAUUAGGCGUUCCCUUCGGGGACGCAAUGACAGGUGGUGCAUGGUCGUCGUCAGCUCGUGUCGUGAGAUGUUGGGUUAAGUCCCGCAACGAGCGCAACCCUUGUUACUAGUUGCCAGCAUUCAGUUGGGCACUCUAGUGAGACUGCCGGUGACAAACCGGAGGAAGGUGGGGAUGACGUCAGAUCAUCAUGCCCCUUAUGACCUGGGCUACACACGUGCUACAAUGGUCGGUACAACG
This 637-nucleotide ribosomal RNA is filed under the name uncultured bacterium. RNAcentral's name for it is "bacterial SSU rRNA". It matches the Rfam family "Bacterial small subunit ribosomal RNA", at positions 607 to 1244 of the family's 1533-position model. The record is from RNAcentral.